CGCUCCAUUAUGUUCCACUAAUCCAAACAUACCCUGAGUUUCCACCUCUCUAACACAAAAACAGAAUAUCACCACCAUCACCAUACCUUUCUCUUCUUCUCAUGGCCAGCCGCCACAACCGUUCCUCUUACUUCCUCUGUCGCAAGUCACCACCACCACUGUUCUUGUUCCUGGCCUUCCUUUCUCGAACAACCACCAUGGGCAUCCCUGAGCACGCGAGGAGCCACAACCGUGGGUCCUUUCCUUCUUUCCCGACGCAGCACCACCGUCGCCUCUUCUCCUCUGUCUCCGGCGAGUGAAACCAUGACUGAACAGAGGAAACAAAACCCUAAACUAAUUUGACGAUCGGCCGCCGUCACUCCGGCGAGCUUCGUUCUGAAAAUCAAGGGCAGUUCCGCAAAGCUUUCGACCUCCUCUUCCCGAAUCCCAAGUCAAAUCAUUGCUAAGAGCUGUGAUGGCCACCAGAGGAAGAGGAAGCUACGGCCAGAGAAGAAAGAGGAGUUCAACUCAGCUCCACAGCCUUGAGAAUUAAGGUUUGGGUUGGAACUUGCGGUUCCAUCUCCUCUAUAAGCCUCGACAUCUCAGGAUAGAGGGAGCAAUCUGCUUUGUGUUUCCCUUCUGUGGAUGUGAAGCUGCUUGAAUCAAGAGCACCUGAACUCAUUUCUCCUCCUAUUGUUCCCUUGACCCCUUUCGAAACUUACAACGCCGGAUAUACACAUACUAGGGACAUAGAUCCAAGGCGGUGGAGGUCCUUGCUGCUCCAGUUUACCAUUCCAGUUCGCACCCCCAAAAAAUCGAACCGCCAGAUCUCGGUGGCCGCCUUCUAUGUUGCUGGAAUCUUGCAAGGCGUUCUUCAGGAAACCCUUCAAGGUCCAAGGUGUAGACGACUAUUACAAAAGCAUGUACUAGCUUAGCAUAAAGUUGGUUCCUAGUUAAUUGGUGUGUAUGACUUCAUUUUUAGUGUGGUUGUGAAAUCAUUGAUUCACAAGCUAUAAGUACCUCAUAUGAUUUUUUUUUCUCAAUUAGUUUCUAUUUGCAACAUAAUUUUGCUGAUAUUAUGCUCAUUUAGAUAGUCUUUGGUUGGAGGGGGGGUGUUAAACUUUCAAUUUUUGGGAGGGGAGUAGAGGGGGAUGGAGGUAUUUUUUAAACUUGUAUGGUUCAGACGUUGGAAAUGAAAUAACUGUCUGAGGAAAUAUUUGCAAGUUGUGUUACAGAAAACCCACUUGAGCCAUGUUAUAUUUCUUUCGUUACUAGCUCUCUUCAUAUUCUUUUACUGUUAUGAUCAUUUUCACUUGCAUGGUUUUUGUUUUAACUCCUUUUGUACAGAGAAAGUUGAAUCAAUAGUCAACAAUAGAUGAAGUAGAACAGGUGGCAUAUGUUCCACCUGUGGCUGAUGGGGUGGAUAAAGUUGGUGAAUAAUUAAGCAGGAGUUUGAAACCAAAAGUAAUAAAAUUAUCUCUAUAUGUUAAUUUUUUCACUUUAAAGUUUGUGUCUCUUGGUCCCCCAAAAUCCAGUUUAUAGUUCAUAUUUGGCAGGAACUUUAUAUCA
Lotus japonicus is the source of this 1548-nucleotide long non-coding RNA. RefSeq lists it as uncharacterized. Lineage: Eukaryota; Viridiplantae; Streptophyta; Magnoliopsida; Fabales; Fabaceae. The record is from RefSeq and is a predicted model, not a curated record. The transcript has 5 exons.